AAAUUGAAGAGUUUGAUCAUGGCUCAGAUUGAACGCUGGCGGCAGGCCUAACACAUGCAAGUCGAACGGUAACAGGAAUCAGCUUGCUGAUUCGCUGACGAGUGGCGGACGGGUGAGUAAUGUCUGGGAAACUGCCCGAUGGAGGGGGAUAACUACUGGAAACGGUAGCUAAUACCGCAUAACGUCGCAAGACCAAAGAGGGGGACCUUCGGGCCUCUUGCCAUCGGAUGUGCCCAGAUGGGAUUAGCUAGUAGGUGGGGUAACGGCCCACCUAGGCGACGAUCCCUAGCUGGUCUGAGAGGAUGACCAGCCACACUGGAACUGAGACACGGUCCAGACUCCUACGGGAGGCAGCAGUGGGGAAUAUUGCACAAUGGGCGCAAGCCUGAUGCAGCCAUGCCGCGUGUAUGAAGAAGGCCUUCGGGUUGUAAAGUACUUUCAGCGGGGAGGAAGGGAGUAAAGUUAAUACCUUUGCUCAUUGACGUUACCCGCAGAAGAAGCACCGGCUAACUCCGUGCCAGCAGCCGCGGUAAUACGGAGGGUGCAAGCGUUAAUCGGAAUUACUGGGCGUAAAGCGCACGCAGGCGGUCUGUUAAGUCAGAUGUGAAAUCCCCGGGCUCAACCUGGGAACUGCAUCUGAUACUGGCAGGCUUGAGUCUCGUAGAGGGGGGUAGAAUUCCAGGUGUAGCGGUGAAAUGCGUAGAGAUCUGGAGGAAUACCGGUGGCGAAGGCGGCCCCCUGGACGAAGACUGACGCUCAGGUGCGAAAGCGUGGGGAGCAAACAGGAUUAGAUACCCUGGUAGUCCACGCCGUAAACGAUGUCGACUUGGAGGUUGUGCCCUUGAGGCGUGGCUUCCGGAGCUAACGCGUUAAGUCGACCGCCUGGGGAGUACGGCCGCAAGGUUAAAACUCAAAUGAAUUGACGGGGGCCCGCACAAGCGGUGGAGCAUGUGGUUUAAUUCGAUGCAACGCGAAGAACCUUACCUGGUCUUGACAUCCACAGAACUUUCCAGAGAUGGAUUGGUGCCUUCGGGAACUGUGAGACAGGUGCUGCAUGGCUGUCGUCAGCUCGUGUUGUGAAAUGUUGGGUUAAGUCCCGCAACGAGCGCAACCCUUAUCCUUUGUUGCCAGCGGUCCGGCCGGGAACUCAAAGGAGACUGCCAGUGAUAAACUGGAGGAAGGUGGGGAUGACGUCAAGUCAUCAUGGCCCUUACGACCAGGGCUACACACGUGCUACAAUGGCGCAUACAAAGAGAAGCGACCUCGCGAGAGCAAGCGGACCUCAUAAAGUGCGUCGUAGUCCGGAUUGGAGUCUGCAACUCGACUCCAUGAAGUCGGAAUCGCUAGUAAUCGUGGAUCAGAAUGCCACGGUGAAUACGUUCCCGGGCCUUGUACACACCGCCCGUCACACCAUGGGAGUGGGUUGCAAAAGAAGUAGGUAGCUUAACCUUCGGGAGGGCGCUUACCACUUUGUGAUUCAUGACUGGGGUGAAGUCGUAACAAGGUAACCGUAGGGGAACCUGCGGUUGGAUCACCUCCUUACCUUAAAGAAGC
Molecule: ribosomal RNA, 1554 nt
Filed under: Escherichia coli
Lineage: Bacteria; Pseudomonadati; Pseudomonadota; Gammaproteobacteria; Enterobacterales; Enterobacteriaceae
Description: bacterial SSU rRNA
Rfam family: Bacterial small subunit ribosomal RNA
Source: RNAcentral